CCUACGGGUUGCAGCAGUGGGGAAUAUUGGACAAUGGGCGCAAGCCUGAUCCAGCCAUGCCGCGUGAGUGAUGAAGGCCCUAGGGUUGUAAAGCUCUUUCACCGGUGAAGAUAAUGACGGUAACCGGAGAAGAAGCCCCGGCUAACUUCGUGCCAGCAGCCGCGGUAAUACGAAGGGGGCUAGCGUUGUUCGGAUUUACUGGGCGUAAAGCGCACGUAGGCGGACUAUUAAGUCAGGGGUGAAAUCCCGGGGCUCAACCCCGGAACUGCCUUUGAUACUGGUAGUCUUGAGUUCGAGAGAGGUGAGUGGAAUUCCGAGUGUAGAGGUGAAAUUCGUAGAUAUUCGGAGGAACACCAGUGGCGAAGGCGGCUCACUGGCUCGAUACUGACGCUGAGGUGCGAAAGCGUGGGGAGCAAACAGGAUUAGAUACCCGAGUAGUC
Molecule: ribosomal RNA, 440 nt
Filed under: uncultured bacterium
Lineage: Bacteria
Description: bacterial SSU rRNA
Rfam family: Bacterial small subunit ribosomal RNA
Source: RNAcentral